RNAcentral lists this ribosomal RNA (465 nucleotides) under Vreelandella stevensii. RNAcentral describes it as "partial 16S ribosomal RNA". It matches the Rfam family "Bacterial small subunit ribosomal RNA", at positions 338 to 795 of the family's 1533-position model. Lineage: Bacteria; Pseudomonadati; Pseudomonadota; Gammaproteobacteria; Oceanospirillales; Halomonadaceae. The record is from RNAcentral.
CCUACGGGUGGCAGCAGUGGGGAAUAUUGGACAAUGGGCGAAAGCCUGAUCCAGCCAUGCCGCGUGUGUGAAGAAGGCCUUCGGGUUGUAAAGCACUUUCAGUGGGGAAGAAAGCCUUGGGGCUAAUACCCUCGAGGAAGGACAUCACCCACAGAAGAAGCACCGGCUAACUCCGUGCCAGCAGCCGCGGUAAUACGGAGGGUGCGAGCGUUAAUCGGAAUUACUGGGCGUAAAGCGCGCGUAGGCGGUCUGAUAAGCCGGUUGUGAAAGCCCCGGGCUCAACCUGGGAACGGCAUCCGGAACUGUCAGGCUAGAGUGCAGGAGAGGAAGGUAGAAUUCCCGGUGUAGCGGUGAAAUGCGUAGAGAUCGGGAGGAAUACCAGUGGCGAAGGCGGCCUCCUGGACUGACACUGACGCUGAGGUGCGAAAGCGUGGGUAGCAAACAGGAUUAGAUACCCGAGUAGUC